GGGGUACGUGGCGAGCGACUCUCUGGUCUGUAACUGACGCUGAGGAGCGAAAGCGUGGGGAGCGAACAGGAUUAGAUACCCUGGUAGUCCACGCCGUAAACGAUGAGUGCUAAGUGUUAGGGGGUUUCCGCCCCUUAGUGCUGCAGCUAACGCAUUAAGCACUCCGCCUGGGGAGUACGGUCGCAAGACUGAAACUCAAAGGAAUUGACGGGGGCCCGCACAAGCGGUGGAGCAUGUGGUUUAAUUCGAAGCAACGCGAAGAACCUUACCAGGUCUUGACAUCCUCUGACAACCCUAGAGAUAGGGCUUUCCCUUCGGGGACAGAGUGACAGGUGGUGCAUGGUUGUCGUCAGCUCGUGUCGUGAGAUGUUGGGUUAAGUCCCGCAACGAGCGCAACCCUUGAUCUUAGUUGCCAGCAUUCAGUUGGGCACUCUAAGGUGACUGCCGGUGACAAACCGGAGGAAGGUGGGGAUGACGUCAAAUCAUCAUGCCCCUUAUGACCUGGGCUACACACGUGCUACAAUGGACAGAACAAAGGGCUGCGAGACCGCAGGUUUAGCCAAUCCCACAAAUCUGUUCUCAGUUCGGAUCGCAUCUGCAACUCGACUGCGUGAAGCUGGAAUCGCUAGUAAUCGCGGAUCACAUGCCGCGGUGAAUACGUUCCCGGGCCUUGUACACACCGCCCGUCACACCACGAGAGUUUGCAACACCCGAAGUCGGUGAGGUAACC
RNAcentral lists this ribosomal RNA (730 nucleotides) under Bacillus aerophilus. RNAcentral describes it as "bacterial SSU rRNA". It matches the Rfam family "Bacterial small subunit ribosomal RNA", at positions 703 to 1440 of the family's 1533-position model. Lineage: Bacteria; Bacillati; Bacillota; Bacilli; Caryophanales; Bacillaceae. The record is from RNAcentral.